CGACGCUUGCGGGCCAAGGAAGUCAUCUGCCCUGCACCUCUGACGUUAGUGGAAACUGAGGCCCAAGAGAGGGCCACGCUGCCCAAGGUCAGCAGCAGGGCUGCGUUGGCGCCAAGUGUGGUAGUUGGGCCCAGUGAAGAUCGUAGGCAUGACGUUGUGAAGCUGGAUUUGGCCUGAUUUCCCCGUGCGAUCUGAGGGUGGGGUUGGCUCGUUUGUAGACAGUCUCGUUUUGUGUGCUUUCCCUGGAACGGGGUUGCUCAGGGCCUGCUUUGCACACUGCCUGUGUCCAGGGCUGGGAUGACUGUUCCUUUCUGCCCCUCCAGCGCCGGAGUACUGGAGCCCUCCUGGACUGGAUGCUAUGAGUUGCUAAAAGUGAGCCUGGCUUUUUAG
RNAcentral lists this long non-coding RNA (390 nucleotides) under Rattus norvegicus (Norway rat). RNAcentral describes it as "long non-coding RNA NONRATT028950". Lineage: Eukaryota; Metazoa; Chordata; Mammalia; Rodentia; Muridae. The record is from RNAcentral.